GAUGAACGCUGGCGGCGUGCCUAAUACAUGCAAGUCGAGCGAACGGACGAGAAGCUUGCUCCUCUGAUGUUAGCGGCGGACGGGUGAGUAACACGUGGAUAACCUACCUAUAAGACUGGGAUAACUUCGGGAAACCGGAGCUAAUACUGGAUAAUAUUUUGAACCGCAUGGUUCAAAAGUGAAAGACGGUUUUGCUGUCACUUAUAGAUGGAUCCGCGCUGCAUUAGCUAGUUGGUAAGGUAACGGCUUACCAAGGCAACGAUGCGUAGCCGACCUGAGAGGGUGAUCGGCCACACUGGAACUGAGACACGGUCCAGACUCCUACGGGAGGCAGCAGUAGGGAAUAUUCCGCAAUGGGCGAAAGCCUGACGGAGCAACGCCGCGUGAGUGAUGAAGGUCUUCGGAUCGUAAAACUCUGUUAUUAGGGAAGAACAUAUGUGUAAGUAACUGUGCACGUCUUGACGGUACCUAAUCAGAAAGCCACGGCUAACUACGUG
Molecule: ribosomal RNA, 497 nt
Filed under: uncultured bacterium
Lineage: Bacteria
Description: partial 16S ribosomal RNA
Rfam family: Bacterial small subunit ribosomal RNA
Source: RNAcentral